CGGGAGGCAGCAGUGGGGAAUAUUGCACAAUGGGCGAAAGCCUGAUGCAGCAACGCCGCGUGCGGGAUGAAGGCCCUAGGGUUGUAAACCGCUUUCAGCAGGGAAGAAAAUGACGGUACCUGUAGAAGAAGGUGCGGCCAACUACGUGCCAGCAGCCGCGGUGACACGUAGGCACCAAGCGUUGUCCGGAUUUAUUGGGCGUAAAGAGCUCGUAGGCGGUUCAGUAAGUCGGGUGUGAAAACUCUGGGCUCAACCCAGAGACGCCACCCGAUACUGCUGUGACUAGAGUGCGGUAGGGGAGCGGGGAAUUCCUAGUGUAGCGGUGAAAUGCGCAGAUAUUAGGAGGAACACCAGUGGCGAAGGCGCCGCUCUGGGCCGUAACUGACGCUGAGGAGCGAAAGCGUGGGUAGCAAACAGGAUUAGAUACCCUGGUAGUCCACGCCGUAAACGUUGGGCACUAGGUGUGGGUCUCAACCAACGAGAUCCGCGCCGUCGCUAACGCAUUAAGUGCCCCGCCUGGGGAGUACGGUCGCAAGGCUAAAACUCAAAUGAAUUG
RNAcentral lists this ribosomal RNA (556 nucleotides) under uncultured bacterium. RNAcentral's name for it is "bacterial SSU rRNA". It matches the Rfam family "Bacterial small subunit ribosomal RNA", at positions 342 to 912 of the family's 1533-position model. The record is from RNAcentral.